ACUCCUACGGGAGGCAGCAGUGGGGAAUAUUGCACAAUGGGCGCAAGCCUGAUGCAGCCAUGCCGCGUGUAUGAAGAAGGCCUUCGGGUUGUAAAGUACUUUCAGCAGUGAGGAAGGUGGGUAUGUUAAUAGCAUAUUCAUUUGACGUUAGCUGCAGAAGAAGCACCGGCUAACUCCGUGCCAGCAGCCGCGGUAAUACGGAGGGUGCGAGCGUUAAUCGGAAUUACUGGGCGUAAAGCGCAUGCAGGUGGUUUGUUAAGUCAGAUGUGAAAGCCCGGGGCUCAACCUCGGAAUUGCAUUUGAAACUGGCAAACUAGAGUACUGUAGAGGGGGUAGAAUUUCAGGUGUAGCGGUGAAAUGCGUAGAGAUCUGAAGGAAUACCGGUGGCGAAGGCGGCCCCCUGGACAGAUACUGACACUCAGAUGCGAAAGCGUGGGGAGCAAACAGGAUUAGAUACCCUGGUAGGCUACUGC
Molecule: ribosomal RNA, 473 nt
Filed under: uncultured bacterium
Lineage: Bacteria
Description: bacterial SSU rRNA
Rfam family: Bacterial small subunit ribosomal RNA
Source: RNAcentral